Limanda limanda (common dab) is the source of this 615-nucleotide non-coding RNA. The record is from the annotation of a RefSeq genome assembly. Lineage: Eukaryota; Metazoa; Chordata; Actinopteri; Pleuronectiformes; Pleuronectidae.
UGGUUGACUUUCGGUGGAGGAACCAAACUCAACAUUGACUUGGGUGUGGUGCGGCCCACCCUGACCCUCCUCCCCCCCUCCAGUGAAGAGCUGAAGCAGGGCACUGCCACUCUGGUGUGUAUGGCCAGCGGGGGCUUCCCCUCAGCCUGGAGCCUGGGCUGGAAGGUGGGGGGCAGCAUCAGGUCCUCAGGGGUGUCUCUAAGCCCGGGGGUCCUGGGGGGGGCCGGCCACUACAGCUGGAGCAGCACCAUGAGCCUCCCUGCAGAGCAGUGGAGGAAGGCGGGCUCAGUGAGCUGUGAGGCCAGUCUGAACGGACAGAGCCCUGUCGCUCAAACCCUGGACCCUGACCUCUGCUCGGAGUAGAGAGACGACAUCACUUCCUGUCUGACAUGAUGCUGAUUCUUUGAUGAGCUGCACAUCUCCUCUCUGCAGCUUUCUGCUGGGUUUCAGUGUCCAUGUUGCUUUUCAGUAUCGAUCAUCUGCAUAUUCUGCUUUAUCUCUGAUAGUGUUUUUAAUUAAACUGACUUUUAUUUGUUUAAUUCUAAUUUUGAACAAACCUACUCAUUCAUCAAAACAUCAUAAUCAUCAUUGAAUAAAACUGUGUGUCACAAUAAA